Molecule: non-coding RNA, 74 nt
Organism: Podarcis lilfordi (Lilford's wall lizard)
Lineage: Eukaryota; Metazoa; Chordata; Lepidosauria; Squamata; Lacertidae
Source: the annotation of a GenBank genome assembly
GAAACAAAUAGCUCAGUUGGUAGAGCAUGAUACUCCUAAUCUCAGGGUCAUCGGUUUGAGCCCCAUGUUGGGCA